Molecule: long non-coding RNA, 4506 nt
Filed under: Nicotiana benthamiana
Lineage: Eukaryota; Viridiplantae; Streptophyta; Magnoliopsida; Solanales; Solanaceae
Description: long non-coding RNA (NBEN_LNC026302)
Source: RNAcentral
UUACAAUGAGAAGGUUUCCUUUAUAUAGUAGGAGACCUUCCUUGAAAUAAUCAAAAAAUACAAAAGUUGGUGGCUUCCACUCAAUAAAAGGGUCAGACGCUAAACGUCGUCACUUCUUCUUCACCAAUUUGGGUCGUGCCCUCGCUUGGGUCGUCUUUAUCAUAGGGGACGUGCCCACCUGGUGUGGGGAAGUUAUGAGCCAAAUUUAACCGUAUACACCUAACAUUAUGAUAUUUGUUUGACUCAAAAGCUAUCAAAUACUUUCCAAGCAAAUUAAUCAAAAUGAAUCAAGGGUAAAUCCUUGUUAAGAAUAGUUAACUCUAGAUCCAAGAUUAAUAAUACGAAUUAAAAGACAUAGUCGAAUAUAAAUGUUGAUCGCGAUUAUGACCAAAUUUAAUGGAAUAAAGAAAGAUGCAUUAAAUAACAAAAAUAUGAAUAAAGGAAAAGGUUCACCCAAUCUUUAGUGAGACGGAUCUUCUUUCUUUUCAUAAAAAUGAAUGAUAGACAAAUACAAGAACCUCAUGAUGCUUUUUGGAUCUAAUGAAGGUAUUGGAUCACAUAUCCUCUCAUUUCUUUAAAGAGACGUGUUUACAUAUUUUCUAGAAAGAGGGAGAGAGAGGGAGAGGGAGAGGGAGAGGGAGAGGGAGAGGGAGAGUCCAAUAAUAGUUCGGUAAUCCUCCUCCCUUUACAAUGCUUGGGUCCCUUUUUUGGGAAGUCCUCACUUCCUAUGUAUAAGGGGGUAUCUAUAGAAAAUCCUAAAAAAUGUACAAUUUACAAGGAAUAUUCGGUAGAAUAUUCCUUUUGAUUUUUCUAAAGCAAACUAGAUGUUUGAUGACGGUCCGACCAUGGCCGUCCGACCACGACCAUUGAUGACGGUCCGACCUUGGCUUGUCCAACCACGACUAUUGAUGACAGUCCGACCUUGGCCUGUCCGACCAUGACCACGACCUCGUGACGAAUUUCUCUGAUCUAAUUUUGACCCAUACAGUUAGUCCCUCUGCUUAUCGAGGUCGCCUCUUGGUCGAGCUCGGUGAACGGACUUCAUUGAUCGUAGUUCGAGAAAUUCAGAUGGGGAGGUUGAAAUGACAGAGGCAAUGUUUAUGCGCCCUCAUAGGGUGAAGACGACACCUUAUAGAGAAUCUUCUAAGCAUCCUGAUCCGUUUCCAAAGGGUUCAUAAAAAAGACCAGGACCCCAAGUUUUCCAACGCUCAUCAUACGAUUUGAAAGCUUGUUCCGUCAAAUCAAGAUAUAUACCAUCAAUGGGUUUACAAGUACUGAAAAUAUUUAGGCUACUAUAAUUAAGUGCGCAACUUAUUUAUUUCUCCAUGUAUUUCACCAUUAAUGGUGGUGGUGAAUCUGAUCCAGGUUCCAUGGAUGCAAGUUCUUGCAAUUAUUUCUAGAAUAUAUGUCCAGAGUAGAAUCAUCGCAAAAAAGUACAUUUCGGCAUUUGGUACGGCACUAACAUUUUGAACUACCAAAGACACGAGAAUGUCAUAAAUGACAACAAUUCUCUUACCUUUAUCUGCUGCAGACAAAAUCUUACAAGAUCUGCCAUUGGUCGUCGAGACUCCAUAGCAGCGUAGAAAGAGGGUAUUUAAAUUUGAAGGGUAAAAGCUGUUGCUGUCAGGAGGAAUGUUGUCGAGAAUAGUGUGACCACUAAAUUUAUAUAGGUGCAUUGGGUCAUGGACUUAAAUUGUAGGUGAGACCAGAACUUCUCUCACUCUCAUUUUCUUGUAUUCCUAAUAUAAUCUGGAUGCUAUCAGUGAUUAUUGUUUCAUUUUCACGUUGCCCUAGUCAGUUCGAACGAGGCCUAGUUGUGAAUCAAGUUCGAGCUAGGUCGAAUGAGAGUCAAAUUCGAGUGAAGUAGAAUUAUUACUUUUGGCGAUGGCCUUUGGCCCUAGGGGUGUUAUUUCGGGCAAAGGUCGAAGUGUUAACUCGUUGUAAUUCGAGCGAGGUCGAAUCCUUUCUUUUAGUAAUGGCCCUUGGCUAUAGGGGUAUUAUUUCGAGCUAAGGCCAAAAUCAUAACCCGUUCUAAUUCGAGCGAGGUCGAACCCUUUCUAUUAGUAAUGGCCCUAGUGUUAUUUCGAGCUAAGGCCGAAAUGUUAACCCGUUGUAAUUCGAGCGAGGAUGAACUCUUCUUUUUGGAGAAGGCCCUUGCCUUAAAGGGUGUUAUUUCGACUUAUCAAAAUGUUAAUCCGUCGUCGUUCGAUCGAUAUUGAACCCUUCUUUUUGGAGAAGGCCCUUGGCCUUAAAGGGUGUUAUUUCGACUUAUCGAAAUGUUAAUCCGUCGUUGUUCGAUCGAUGUUGAAUUCUUCUUUUUUUGGCGUAGGCCCUUGGCUUUAAAUGGUGUUAGUUCGACUUAUCGAAAUGUUAACCCAUCGUCAUUCGAUCGAUGUCGAACUCUUCUUUUUGGAGAAGGCCCUUGGCCUUAAUGGGUGUUAUUUAGACUUAUCGAAAUGUUAACCUGUCGUUGUUCGAUUGAUGUCAAAUUCUUCUUUUUGGAGAAGGCCCAUGGCCUUAAAGGGUGUUAUUUCUGCUUAUGGAAAUGUUAACCCGUCGUUGUCCGAUCGAUGUCGAAUUCUUCUUUUUUUUUGGGCGAAGGCCCUUGGCCUUAAAGGGUGUUAUUUUGACUUAUCGAAAUAUUAACCUAUCGUCGUUCGAUUGAUGUCGAACUCUUCUUUUUGGAGAAAUCCCUUAGCCUUAAAGGGUGUUAUUUCGAUCUUGUCGAAAUGUUAACCCGUUGUUGUUCAGUCAAGGUCAGACUCUUCUUCUUUGAUGAAGGCCCUUAGCCUUAAAGGGUGUUAUUUCGAACUUGUCGAAAUGUUAACCCGUUGUCUUUUGGUCGAUGUCGCUCUUCUCUUUUGGCGAAGGCCCUUGGCCUUAAAGGGUGUUCCCUAGGGGAGUCUCAAUUUACUUAAUUUUGCUUGCAUUGAAGAAUAUGACAUACUUCCUGGGGGAGUCCCAGUUUGCUCAACUUUGCUUGCAUUGGAGCAUAUGAUGUAUUUCCUGGGGGAGUCCCAGUUUGUUUAGUUUUACUUGUAUUGGAGAAUAUGAUGUAUUUUUUGUUCAUGUAUCUAGGAGAAUGCUCCUGCUUCUAUUUCACUUAAGGAAAUAAUUAUUUAAAAUAAAAUAAAAGUGUUCGUUACCUCGAUUUGAUCGGUCGACGAGUGGAGAGGAGUAACCAUGUUCCCUUCUCCGAUUAUGCUUUUAGUCGCCCCUAUCAGUUUGCCAAGAGAAGGUCGUUCCGCCGAAUAAAGAGGAAUAUAUGCGAAAAACACCCUAAAUCUUAGAGCGAGAAGGCAAACCCUCGUCAAACACAAUCCCAACAUAUAACGAAGACGUCUGAUUCGACAAACUUUCCAGCACCAUCGCCUCCGCCGAUUUCCUUGUCAGUAAUGUAGGGGCUCAAUUUAAAAGAUAAUACUAAGAAAGCUUUGGUCCUUCGCUUUUGAUUUACCUUGAUGCUUCUUCCCACAAAAAAUAGUACCUGGAAGUCAUAUAAGCCAACAUCCAAGCAAGAUAGACAGCGAAUGAACAAAUCCUUGAUUUCUAGCUUUUAAGAAUGUUGUCUUUUAUUUUUCUUUUUUCUAAAACCGUUAGUUUAAGUUUUUUUCGUAGACCCUUCAAACGGUCUGUUUUAUAGCAGUACAGUACCUUGCUUCUAAUCUUGAUACGUCCAGGACCUGGCCCUGCUCAAGAUCUUAACAAAUAUAUUUCUUUUCUAAUUCACCUAUCAAUCUCGACUCUAAUUAUUUUUGGAGGCAUGCAACAUAAGAUCGUUUUGUAAUUUUCCUUAGAAUAAUAUACUUCAGCUACCUCGUAGAGUAGUAUUUUAUAUGUAAUGGUCCCUCUGAUUUAUUUUCUUAUUAUAUUGAAAUUCCAAAAAAAAGAUGCUCCUUUGUAUGGAUUAUUAAAUUCUGUUUGGUCCACAAAUUGUGGGGUUUUGACCUUGUGAGUGUCCAACAAGAUAGACAGCAAACGAAACAAUGACGCUACACCGUGUAGAAAGCGAAACUAGAAUUUUGUUUAGAUCUAGAGGAAAUUAAAAUUUUAGCUAGAAAAUUUUCACAGACGAUGUUAAAUUGUUCGACUCAAAAGUUGUCAAAUACUUUCCGAGCAAAUUAUCAAAAUGAAUCAAGGGUAAAUUCUAAUUAAGAAUAAUUAACUCUAGAUCCGAGAUGAAUAAUACGAAUUAAAAGACAUAGUCGAAUAUAAAUGUUGAUGGCGAUUAUGACCAGGUUUAAUGGCAUAAAGAAAAAUGCAUUAAAUAACAAAAAUAUGAAUAAAGAAAAAGGUUCACCCGAUCUUUGGUGAGAUGGAUCUUCUUUCUUUUGAUAAAGAUGAAUGAUAGACAAAUAUAAGAACCUCAUGACUCUUUUUGGAUCUGAUGAAGGUAUUAGAUCACAUGUCCUGUCAUUUCUUUGGAGAAGUAUAUUUACAUAUUUCUAGAAAGAGAGAGAGGGAGAGAGAGAGCCCAAUAAUAGUUCAAUAAUCCUCCCCCUUUAU